Molecule: ribosomal RNA, 690 nt
Filed under: uncultured bacterium
Lineage: Bacteria
Description: bacterial SSU rRNA
Rfam family: Bacterial small subunit ribosomal RNA
Source: RNAcentral
ACCAUCGACGCCGCGUGCGGGAUGAAGGCCUUCGGGUUGUAAACCGCUUUCAGUAGGGAAGAAGCGAAAGUGACGGUACCUACAAAAGAAGCACCGGCUAACUAUGUGCCAGCAGCCGCGGUAAUACAUAGGGUACAAGCGUUGUCCGGAAUUAUUGGGCGUAAAGAGCUCGUAGGUUGUUCGUUACGUCGGAUGUGAAAAUCUGGGGCUCAACCCCAGACCUGCAUUCGAUACGGGCGAACUGGAGUGUGGUAGGGGAGACUGGAAUUCCUGGUGUAGCGGUGGAAUGCGCAGAUAUCAGGAGGAACACCAAUGGCGAAGGCAGGUCUCUGGGCCAUUACUGACACUGAGGAGCGAAAGUCUGGGGAGCGAACAGGAUUAGAUACCCUGGUAGUCCAGACCGUAAACGGUGGGCGCUAGUUGUGGGAACCUUCCACGGUUUCUGCGACGCAGCUAACGCAUUAAGCGCCCCGCCUGGGGAGUACGAUCGCAAGAUUAAAACUCAAAGGAAUUGACGGGGCCCCGCACAAGCAGCGGAGCAUGCGGCUUAAUUCGACGCAACGCGAAGAAACCUUACAAGGCUUGACAUAUAGGGAAAAGCAAUAGAGAUAUUGUGUCCGCAAGGGCUCUUUACAGGUGGUGCAUGGGUGGCGGCAGGUUCGUGUCGUGAGAUCGUGGGUUAAGUCCCGG